This 78-nucleotide ribosomal RNA is filed under the name Clostridioides difficile. RNAcentral's name for it is "partial 16S ribosomal RNA". It matches the Rfam family "Bacterial small subunit ribosomal RNA", at positions 1 to 76 of the family's 1533-position model. Lineage: Bacteria; Bacillati; Bacillota; Clostridia; Peptostreptococcales; Peptostreptococcaceae. The record is from RNAcentral.
UUUUAUUUGAGAGUUUGAUCCUGGCUCAGGAUGAACGCUGGCGGCGUGCCUAACACAUGCAAGUUGAGCGAUUUACUU